Molecule: long non-coding RNA, 479 nt
Filed under: Oryza sativa (Asian cultivated rice)
Lineage: Eukaryota; Viridiplantae; Streptophyta; Magnoliopsida; Poales; Poaceae
Description: long non-coding RNA (OSAT_LNC001760)
Source: RNAcentral
AGAGCUCAAUGAUUCGAUUCAGAGGUUGACCAUGGUGUCCACGAUGUACAAGGAGGCGGCCGCCACUUGCGGCGACGGGGAGCACUACUCGCGGCUCAUCCGGGAGCUGUGCGCGCUGCUCGCCGCCAUCAUCUCCCCCUCCUCCUCCUCCUCCACCGCGGCGGCGGCGAGGUCUCCGGGGAUGUCGCCCGCGGCGGCGGCGACGAUGCUGCUCGGCGCGUCGGUGGCGCUGAUGCUGUGCGGGUCGGUGACGUUCGCGAUCGGGCUCCUCCUCAUGCCGUGGGUCGCCGGCGUCGCGCUGCUGUUCGGCCUCUCCGCCGCCGUCUCCACCCUCUCCUCCGGCGUCUUCGGCAAGGCCGCCGCCGCCGCCUCUUCUCCGGUGAGCCACGCUUCUUCGGAUAAUAAGCCUGUAUUAGUGGUAGCUUAGGAGAUUGAUCAUUAGCCUUUAAUUGGUUGGUGAUCCCUUUGUAAAAAGAAAA